This is a non-coding RNA of Ictidomys tridecemlineatus (thirteen-lined ground squirrel), 2196 nucleotides long. NCBI's taxonomy places the organism in Eukaryota, Metazoa, Chordata, Mammalia, Rodentia, Sciuridae. The record is from RefSeq and is a predicted model, not a curated record.
UCCCUAUGGCUAAUUAAUCCAUUCUUAUACCUUUAAAUGAUACAAACAUUUGUCUGUGACAUGGACCUCUCUCCAAGAUCAAGAUCAUUUCCAAUCUUCCAUACUCACCAUCGCUACAUGGAUCUCUGGGUAUCUCAAGCUCUAUAUGUAUCCUAAAUGGAAUCCAUGAUCUUCUCCCUUCAAAUACUGUUCUCUUCAAUUUUCCUCACCUCUUAGAAUCAUAUUACCAUCCUUUCUGUUGUCUAAGACAGGACUCUAGAAAUUACCUGUAACUCCCCUUCAUCCUAAUCAUCAUCAAGCCUUGAUGAUUUUAUCUCCUCUCUAGCUCCACUGGAUACUUUAUUUCAGCCCCUUACAAAAUACCCACUUUAAAAAUAAUUCCAGAAAAAAACACAACCCACCAAACAACCAACCCCCAAAACACCAAAAACUCCUCAAAACUACAAGGAGACCUGAAUAUCCACUCUGAAUUUCUGUAUCAAUGCUCCUCCAUCUUGGCUCUGCACGAGAAUCACAUUUUAUUUCUGAUUUCCAGGCCAUAUCCCAAAGUAGGUUAGAGUCCCUAGGGGUACAACUCGGGCAUCUUCUGGAGGCCCUGAUAUGUAACCAAGAUGGAGGAAAACUGUUAGACUUCAGGUGAGAAGCUGGACCCUAAUGUUGGAACAACAGUUGACAGGGCAGAUAGAUUGUAGAGCUCUGUUACCAUCAUCUGACUUUUAGCUGAAAACUCUUCUGACCACUUGUAGCCAAACAGUAAAUACCCCUUUAAAAUAUUGACAAUGUUUUAUUUACAUUUAUUUCUUUGAAUUAUUUAAAAAACAGAACAUGAAAUGUAUCAUUUUAACUAUUUCUAAGCACACAAUACCGUUAUGGUAACUGCAUUUAUGUAGUGGAUACAAAAGAUGUCUAGAACUUUUUCAUUUUGAAAAUUGAAACUCUGUACUUCUUAAACCACAACUCUCAAUAUUGCCUCCCCCAGCCCUUGCUAACCACCAUUUGACAAAUUUCACUACCUCAUGUAAGUGGACUCAUAAACUAUUUGUCUUUUUCUAACUUAUUUGACUCAGCAUAAUGUCCUCAAAGGUUCAUCCAACUUGUAAUAUGGGAUAGAACAGAGUUAAAAUGGAGUGGGAAAUGGUGAAGGCUAUGGUAAAAGAUUUGGAGGAAAUACUCUUUUCCUUCUGUUUAUAUAGAUGGUGAGAAAUGGUAGCAGGUCAGUUGGGGCAAGAUUUACAAAGGUGGUGAGAAAAUGCCCACUUUCUUGGACCAGAGCAAAUUCAUUUCCCCAAUGCCCUUUGAGAAGAGCCAGGGGUGGUGAUUUGUGAUGUCAAAGGUCUCCCUUAGUCACUAUUGGCUGGGGAAAGUGCCUCUCUGAACAAACAAAGCUGAGGGUGUGGCUCUGCAUGGUGAUGGUGACAGGUAUUUUGUAAGAUCUCAGGAGUCCUAGCAAGACCACUAGGAGGUUUUAGUAUCAUUAGUUACCAGAAAACUUAGCACAAUUAUAUUAUAAGCAAUAUGAAACAGGUAACCUCCAGCUCAAGAGGUAAGAAGAAGAGGAAUCCAUACCAAUCCAGAUACCGAAAUGCGAACAAGGUGAAGAAGAUGGAAAAGGGGAUAAAAAAACUGCUUCAUUUGACUUCAAGAAAAAAAUCCUCCAAUACUAGGACAAAUAAGGUGAAGAGAGUGAAGAAGUCCAAGAAGUUUCAACCAUUAUCCGGGACUGAUUAGAAGCCAAAGCCAAAUCACUCAGGCCAACCUCCAGGGACUCCACAAGAUAACACUCCUUCAAGACACAAAUCCAUCUGAAGCAAAGCUCCUUACUUCAGAAGAUUGGCAUUUCUGGAGCUGUUUAUUGAAAUUCUGGACCAUGAACUUCUGCCCUGAUGACAGGUGGUUUCUGUGGCCUAGCUCCAGAGAUCUGUCGCUUGGCCCUCAACCCCCACUUGCCAAAUCAUCCUGAAAAAGGAUCUGGCCAACACAUCAGGGACAAGAUACCACCUUGACUGUUCUAGAUUCUUCGAAAUCCUACCAGUCCUGCCAGGGGGAUGUGUUCUGAAGCUCGGAAUAUUUGAAGUGCAGAGAGAAAAAGAUUCUGUCAACUGACACCAUCUAUGACCUAAGAUAACAUCUGCACACAGAGAUCUCCCUGGACAUGUCAUUGUCUCCACUGAAUAAAUCUGGCUACCUUGAUUGUGC